RNAcentral lists this ribosomal RNA (492 nucleotides) under uncultured bacterium. RNAcentral's name for it is "partial 16S ribosomal RNA". It matches the Rfam family "Bacterial small subunit ribosomal RNA", at positions 29 to 507 of the family's 1533-position model. The record is from RNAcentral.
AUUGAACGCUGGCGGCAUGCUUUACACAUGCAAGUCGAACGGUAACAGGCCUUCGGGUGCUGACGAGUGGCGAACGGGUGAGUAAUGCAUCGGAACGUACCCAGAGGUGGGGGAUAACGCAGCGAAAGCUGUGCUAAUACCGCAUGUGAUCUGAGGAUGAAAGCGGGGGACCGAGCAGCAAUGUUUGGCCUCGCGCCUUUGGAGCGGCCGAUGUCGGAUUAGCUAGUUGGUGGGGUAAAGGCCUACCAAGGCGACGAUCCGUAGCUGGUCUGAGAGGACGACCAGCCACACUGGGACUGAGACACGGCCCAGACUCCUACGGGAGGCAGCAGUGGGGAAUUUUGGACAAUGGGCGGAAGCCUGAUCCAGCAAUGCCGCGUGCGGGAAGAAGGCCUUCGGGUUGUAAACCGCUUUUGGCAGGAACGAAACGGUGUCCGCUAAUACCGGGCGCUAAUGACGGUACCUGCAGAAUAAGCACCGGCUAACUACGUG